GAGCAUUGGGAGCGCCAUUUUUGUUGGAAGACCCUGCAAACCAGUUCCUACGUCUCAAAAGACAUGUAAAUUUGCAGGAUUACUGGGACCCAGAUCACAGUUCAGAUGUGCUCGUGAAACAUGGAUUGCUUUGAAAACAACAGCACAGUAUUAUUUGGAUAUGAAUACCUUCACCUUUGACAUGUCUACUGCCCAGUAAAUAUGUUUUCCUGGUUAAAGCAGGAGGAUGAAGAUGGCAGAGGUUGGAAUGGCAUUGUGCCAAAACCAUGGGUUUUAGAGAUCUGAGGGUAUAUCCAUGCUGUUUACUACAUUAUUUAUUAUGUCUGUCUCAAAGUUGUUGAAAACAGUAGUUAUGAAAACCCAUGUAGGAAACUGGAAUAAGACAUUCUCAAUAAAUGGUAGUUCUCAAAAAAAGAACUAAAAAAAAAAAA
This 431-nucleotide long non-coding RNA is filed under the name Homo sapiens (human). RNAcentral's name for it is "long non-coding RNA NONHSAT194294.1". Lineage: Eukaryota; Metazoa; Chordata; Mammalia; Primates; Hominidae. The record is from RNAcentral.